AGCAGCCGCGGUAAUUCCAGCUCCAAUAGCGUAUAUUAAAGUUGUUGCAGUUAAAAAGCUCGUAGUUGAAUUUCGGGAUCAGUACGCUGGUCGUGCCUUCGGUAUGUACUGGUGUCACUGAUUCCUCCCUUCUGAUGAACCGUUAUGCCAUUUAUUUGGUGUGGCGGGGAAUCAGGACUUGUUACUUUGAAAAAAUUAGAGUGUUUAAAGCAGGCUCGCGCUUGAAUACAUUAGCAUGGAAUAAUGAAAUAGGACGUUUGAUUCUAUUUUGUUGGUUUCUAGGAUCGACGUAAUGAUUAAUAGGGAUAGUUGGGGGCAUUAGUAUUCAAUUGUCAGAGGUGAAAUUCUUGGAUUUAUUGAAGACUAACUACUGCGAAAGCAUUUGCCAAGGAUGUUUUCAUUAAUCAAGAACGAAAGUUAGGGGAUCGAAGACGAUCAGAUACCGUCGUA
This 450-nucleotide ribosomal RNA is filed under the name uncultured Glomeromycotina. RNAcentral describes it as "SSU rRNA". It matches the Rfam family "Eukaryotic small subunit ribosomal RNA", at positions 569 to 1022 of the family's 1831-position model. The record is from RNAcentral. Lineage: Eukaryota; Fungi; Glomeromycota.